Otolemur garnettii (small-eared galago) is the source of this 2790-nucleotide RNA transcript. It is a transcript of the gene named adherens junctions associated protein 1, with no coding region annotated. The transcript is spliced from 6 exons. NCBI's taxonomy places the organism in Eukaryota, Metazoa, Chordata, Mammalia, Primates, Galagidae. The record is from RefSeq and is a predicted model, not a curated record.
UCCACGGCAGAGCCCACUGACCCGGCGCGCAACGAAGGGACUCGUAUCAGCUCGCGUCGCGUUCGCCCAAAGCCCCGGGCAGCGCCGCCCCCUCGGCGCGGAGCUUCGGCUGGGGGCAAGAACCGCGCGCCGCUAGACACGCACCGUGCGCGGCAGCGCCGCCAGCCUUCCUCCUCGCUGCCCCGGAGGGCGAAGCCCCGGCUCCUCAGACCCUUGCUGCGCCGCAACAGCGCCGGAAUACGCCCCGCCUCGCCGCCGCGUUCGCUGUGUCGCCCCCGGAGGAGGCCGCGAGCCCCGUGCCCCGGCCGGAGGAUGUGCGCCCCCGCGGGCCGCCCCGCCUGAGCCAUGCGCCCCAACGGCGGCGGCGCGCCGGCCGGCAUGGAGCCCCGCGCGGCCGCGCUCUGACUCGCUGUGCGCCCCGCGGCCGGCGGGCGGCGGGCGGCGGCGGACCGAGAGCCGGAGACCGGCGCCGCGGGACGGAAGCGAGCGGGCGCGGGCGCCGCGCAGAUGGCCGGGGCGAGCCAGGUCUGAGGCCCCGCUCCCCGAAACGUGACCAUGUGGAUUCAACAGCUUUUAGGACUCAGCUCCAUGUCCACCCCCUGGCCGGGCUGCGCCCUCAGAAGCCACGCUUGGAUACUUAUAGCCAUGUUUCAGCUCACGGUGGAUCUGCCCACCUGUGAGUCCCUGGGCCCCGGCCCCGAGUUCCGGCUCCUGCCACGCCCAUCGCCCCGGCCGCCCCGGUUGUGGAGUUUUAAAAGUGGACAGCCAGCACGGGCCCCGGUCCCCGUGUGGAGUCCCCGGCCGCCCCGCGUGGAGCGGGCGCACGGACAGAUACAGACAGCCAGAGCCAAGUGGGCCCACAGGCCCAGGGACCAGGCAGCUGCCCUUGCUCCUAAAGGGGGGCUCUCCAGGCCCCCAGCUGCAGCCAAAUCCAGCCCUUCCCUCGCCUCCCCCUCCUCAUCCUCGCCCUCCAUGGUGGCCGGCGGGGCCAUGGAACAGCAGGCCCUCCUGAGGAGGGGGAGGAGGCACCUGCAGGGGGACGGCCUCAGCAGCUUUGAGUUCAGAGGCGGCCGGCCCACCACAGAGGCUGAGUUCAUCGCCUGGGGACCCACGGGGGACGAGGAGGGCCUGGAGUCCAACACAUUUCCGGGCAUUUACGGCCCCACCACAGUCUCCAUCUUACAAACACGGAAGACAACUGUGGCCACCACCACCACCACCACGGCCACCCCCACGACGCUGCAGACUAAGGGGUUCACCGAGUCCCUGGACCCCCGGAAAAGGAUCCCAGUCGGGGUUAGCACAACGGAACCCUCUACCAGUCCCGGCAGCAAUGGGAAAGACAUCAGGCCCCCGCGGAUCCUGGGGGAGACCUCAGGUCUGGCUGUCCAUCAGAUCAUCACCAUCACCGUCUCGCUCAUCAUGGUCAUAGCUGCUCUCAUCACAACUCUUGUCUUAAAAAAUUGCUGUGCCCAGAGCGGGAACACACGUCGGAACAGCCACCAGCGGAAGACCAACCAGCAGGAAGAGAGCUGCCAGAACCUGACGGACUUCACCUCGGCCCGCGUGGCCAGCAGCCUGGACAUUUUCACGGCCUACAACGAGACCCUCCAGUGCUCACAUGAGUGUGUCAGGGCAUCUGUCCCUGUGUACACUGACGAGACGCUGCACCCGGCAGGGGAGUACAAAUCCACGUUCAAUGGAAACCGGCCGUCCUCCUCUGAUCGGCAUCUCAUUCCCGUGGCCUUUGUGUCUGAGAAAUGGUUUGAAAUCUCCUGCUGACUGGCCGAAGCCUUUUUUACCUCCUGGGGGCAGGGCAGACGCCGCGUGUCUGUUUCACGGAUUCCGUGGGUGAACCUGUAAAAACAAAACAAAACAAAACAAAAAAAUUACAAAACCUAAAACUAAGAUAUCUAAGGGGGAGGGUCCCCGACCUGCCGCUUCUGUUUGUCGGCGGGAAACUCACAGAGCAGGACGCUCGAGGCCAAAUAUAUUUUUGUACAAAUGCUCACGCCUAUGGGUGACUGCCUUCUCCCGGAGUUUUCUUUGGAGAACGGAAAGAAGAUAAACAAGAAAGGAACUGGGGUCAGAGAGAAAAGGCCACCAAGCCGGAAGGACCGGAGGAAGCACGUGAAACGAGGAUUUGUCCUACGAUUCUGAACCUGUGCCAAUAAUACCAUUAUGUGCCAUGUACUGACCUGAAGGCUCGGCGGCCGCGCCGAAGCCCAGCAAGUCACUCGUAGAAAAUCUUAACAGAAAACAGGGGUGGGAGUCUCUUCCGAUAGAGUCGCUAUUUCUGGUUAAUAUACAUAUAUAAAUAUAUAAAUACACACAGACACAGACACACACACACACUUUUUUUGUACCGUAGCAAUUUUUGGAGACCUUCAACGUUCCUUUUUAAAAAAGAAUUGUGUUAUAGGUUACGAAAUCCGAUUUAUUUACCAUGCUUAGUACAAACAGAAUAAACCGAGGUUUUCUACUUUGGCAAGCCACCUCACACACGGUCGGCACACGCGCACACACACGCUCGCAUAUAUAUACACGCAUAUAUUGGAAACACAGUUCCACAGGUGAGCACCCUCUUUCUGGUAACCUGGUAUUCCAUCACCAUUCGUUCCGGGGCGCAGCCUCAACCCAGACAACCAGGCCUUUAAGUGACACGUCCUGCAUUUGCUAGAUGUUUGGUGAGUGGCACCAAAUGUGUGAUUUGUUACCUUGGGCCAGAAUUAAGAAUGUCAUGGUUUUUAUAUAUGUAUGUGUAUAUAUAUAUAUAUAUUUGUAUGUGUG